This 576-nucleotide ribosomal RNA is filed under the name uncultured bacterium. Its description in RNAcentral is "bacterial SSU rRNA". It matches the Rfam family "Bacterial small subunit ribosomal RNA", at positions 140 to 714 of the family's 1533-position model. The record is from RNAcentral.
GGGAUAGCCCCCGGAAACGGGGAUUAAUACUCCAUAGUAUUGCGUCAACGCAAGUUGAUGUUCUUAAAGCUUCGGCGGUAGAAGAUGGGCAUGCGUCCUAUUAGCUUGUUGGUAAGGUAACGGCUUACCAAGGCAUCGAUAGGUAGGGGGCCUGAGAGGGUGGCCCCCCACACUGGUACUGAGACACGGACCAGACUCCUACGGGAGGCAGCAGUGAGGAAUAUUGGUCAAUGGAGGAAACUCUGAACCAGCCAUGCCGCGCGCAGGAAGAAUGCCCUAUGGGUUGUAAACUGCUUUUAUUUAGGAAGAAUCCCCAGUACGUGUACUGGGUUGACGGUACUAAACGAAUAAGGACCGGCUAACUCCGUGCCAGCAGCCGCGGUAAUACGGAGGGUCCAAGCGUUAUCCGGAAUCAUUGGGUUUAAAGGGUCCGCAGGCGGACUAGUAAGUCAGUGGUGAAAUCUCUCAGCUUAACUGGGAAACUGCCAUUGAUACUGUUAGUCUUGAAUUCGGUCGAAGUGGGCGGAAUGUGUCAUGUAGCGGUGAAAUGCAUAGAUAUGACACAGAACACCGAUA